RNAcentral lists this non-coding RNA (146 nucleotides) under unclassified sequences. Its description in RNAcentral is "cow-rumen-3 RNA". It matches the Rfam family "cow-rumen-3 RNA". From Rfam's summary of the family: cow rumen metagenome. Environment (Cow rumen (57)) The record is from Rfam by way of RNAcentral.
GGCACGUGCUUAAUGAGUACAUGCUUCAUACUGCUGUGCCAGCAUCGUUUAAUUGGUGCUGAAUACUAGUUGCACUAAGCAAGUUAUGAUUCUCCAGUAUGAGUAAAAACUACCGUUUGGGCUGCGUGAGAUGCGCCGGGUCCACC